This is an RNA transcript of Amborella trichopoda, 1806 nucleotides long. RefSeq lists it as uncharacterized. Lineage: Eukaryota; Viridiplantae; Streptophyta; Magnoliopsida; Amborellales; Amborellaceae. The record is from RefSeq and is a predicted model, not a curated record.
CUUCUCGUGGGAAAGAAUUGGAAGCGCAUUAUUAACCUAGCUGGAUGGGCCGGGUUUCUCUUCACAAACUGUGAUCUAAAAAAUCCUCUUCCUCAUUCGUGAAAAACCAUUUUCUCUCUCUGUAACCACUAACGCCCUUAUAGGAUGGGGAGAAAUCUGCUUUCCUGUCCAGUCCAAGACGCCAUAUCUAACGCCAAAUAUAUCCUUCAUCUAGAUAAGUCGGGUUGUGUCUGGAUUCCAAGUUGUGAUCUUAAAUAGCCCAAUUUGACGAUGAACCCCUUGUGAAAUCUCUUUCGCUGUAGUACACAGACAUUCUGAGUAAACUGAGUUUUCAAAGAAGAAUAAAGUUUUUGGUUUUGCAAUGGUGGAGGAAAAUGCGAAGAAGGAGAGGAGGGUAGAGUCUUUGGGAUGGCUUACGGAAUCCUCUGUUAUGCCAAAGAAGCACAAAACAAUCGAAGGGGUGAGUGCGUCUUCAAUUGUAGAGCUCAGGGCACAGCUCUAUAGGACCCAAGAAGAGGCUAAGAAAGUCAAGGAUUUGGCUCCUGAUAUCGAGUUCCAUCGUGCAAAGAAGAAGGUCGUGCCUGUUGAUGUCCACUCUCGAAAGAAUGCAGGGGUUGAGAGCCGCGCUAACAAGUGGUUGCUUACCUUUGAGUUCUGGUAUCAAGAUGCCAUAAGGUUUAGGUUUUUACUACCCUCCUCACUGUGGCAACCCUUUGCAAUGCUCUACCAAAGAAGGGACAAGCUUGAGCUCAAAGCUGUGGAAGAUGGUUUGGUUAGCUAUGCAGCACUGGAGAAGAAGGCUGAAUUAUACGAAAAACUUGCUAGAGGGGAGCUUUCCGAUGAGGAAGACAUGGAGAAGUAUUGUGUUGACUUUUUCCGCAAGACUCUUGACACUGAGGAACAGUCCCAACUGUCUGAACCUGCAAAUGCUCCUUCUGUGGAGGAUGGCAACCUGGACGAUGAAGAUGAUCUGUCUGUCCCUGGUAUUGAUGCAAAGCUGUUCAGACCUGGCCGAACUGGGGAUGCGGUUGACAAUAAUGAGCACAAACGCUUUGUGAGGGAAGUUCAUGAGGAGACAAAUGAGGCGAGAGAGAAGGCUUCUAGUCUCAAGUUGCGCAGGCAAGUGCAGGCAGCUGCACACAGGGAGAAGUUACGGCAGGCCUAUUUGAGGAAACAGUUGGAGAAAUUGAAAGCUGCAAAAACUCAACAAUCAAGCCCUGGUGAUGCUGCAGCAAGCUAGAGAGAGAGAGAGAGAGAGAGAGAGAGAGAGGCUUCGUAGCUGUGAAUACACUCACAUUGUUGAUAUAAAAAGGAUUCCAAAUCAAGUUUUUGGGUUUUAGACGACAUCUGUGAGUUUUGGUAAAAAUUGUAUAAUGUGACCGUGGAAUGUGGAUUAGAUAUCAAAGUUUGAGCGGGCUUGAGACGAGUGAAUACAUUGGAGAAUUAAGGCAUGUAUGUAUGGUACAUGGCAUGAUGCAGGGUGUGUAGGUCAUUAUGUAUUGUUCAAUUCUGAUUAGGGCAAGUGGAUGAAUGCCGAUCACAGUGAGUUCCAGGUGAUGAUCACCGUUUCUCAAAAUGGAAAAUGUUGGACGAUUUUCUUGUAAGGUAUUCCGACAUGUAGCGGUUCAGGAAGGUUAGGACCAAGUUGUUUCAAGCCCAUGUAAACCAUUUGGAACUUGUUCAGAAAAUUGGUUGACGCUUAAGACCACAUAUUUAAUGAACUUCGUAUUUCACCACUAUAUGUUUUUACCAAGCAAGCUUUGAAAGGGAUUGUAUAGAAAGAGUACAUGAGGGCGCAAUCAUUAU